Molecule: ribosomal RNA, 159 nt
Filed under: Triticum aestivum (bread wheat)
Lineage: Eukaryota; Viridiplantae; Streptophyta; Magnoliopsida; Poales; Poaceae
Description: partial small subunit ribosomal RNA
Source: RNAcentral
AUGCUUAUCUCGUGGGAAAUUUGGAACAAGAGAAACGCACGUGUGUUCCGUAACACCGUGGUGUCGGUAGGGGUUCUUGUUGCUCAAAUCAAAGAUGUAUCCAAGCUAUGGUGUCUUGCAAGGGCAAAGUAUUUAAGUAAUGUAGUGCCGCGAGAGUAA